Molecule: ribosomal RNA, 253 nt
Filed under: uncultured bacterium
Lineage: Bacteria
Description: partial 16S ribosomal RNA
Rfam family: Bacterial small subunit ribosomal RNA
Source: RNAcentral
UACGGAGGGGGCGAGUGUUGUUCGGAAUUACUGGGCGUAAAGCGCACGUAGGCGGCUUUUUAAGUCAGAGGUGAAAGCCCGGAGCUCAACUCCGGAACUGCCUUUAAGACUGCAUCGCUAGAAUUGUGGAGAGGUGAGUGGAAUUCCGAGUGUAGAGGUGAAAUUCGUAGAUAUUCGGAAGAACACCAGUGGCGAAGGCGACUCACUGGACACAUAUUGACGCUGAGGUGCGAAAGCGUGGGGAGCAAACAGG